RNAcentral lists this unclassified non-coding RNA (210 nucleotides) under plant metagenome. RNAcentral's name for it is "partial contains small subunit ribosomal RNA, internal transcribed spacer 1, and 5.8S ribosomal RNA". The record is from RNAcentral.
UCUCCGUUGGUGAACCAGCGGAGGGAUCAUUACUGGAAUCGCAAGAUCCCACAACCCCUGUGAACCUACCGAAACGUUGCCUCGGCGGGCGCCCGGCCCCGCGCCGGGCGCUGAGCCCGCCGGCGGCCCCCUACUCUUGUCUCUGCAGCGUAGCAUCUCAGAGUCCCAGAAAACAAGUAAAAACUUUCAACAACGGAUCUCUUGGCUCUA